Molecule: long non-coding RNA, 3820 nt
Organism: Acanthochromis polyacanthus (spiny chromis)
Lineage: Eukaryota; Metazoa; Chordata; Actinopteri; Pomacentridae
Exons: 3
Source: RefSeq, a predicted model, not a curated record
ACCCCUUCGUUAGCAAGCUAGCCAGCAGCACAAAAAUGGCAGAGGAUGCGUGAUGAACGGCGCCCCUACGUCACAGUUUCAGCACCGUGGACAGCAUGACGUCUGUACAGGUGCAGCUCCACAACCACCCACAGAGGGGCAGUGCAGCAGUUUGCUCUGUGUAGGGGAGAGAAAAUUAAAUAAAAGUGUGAAUAAAUCAGCAAAACCAGCACACAUGAAGAAGAGAAUAAAUGCAGGAUGCCCACCCUUCCUUCCUUCCUCCAGAGGCAUGCAAUUACAAGAUACUGCAUGACAGCUGAUCAACCAGCCAGACUGACUGCUGCUCCACCCAUCCCGGCUGGAGGAGCUGCAGCGGCGCUCCUGUUGUUCUGGUACAUCUAGCUCUAUGCGUGGCUCAGCCCACCAGAUCCGGCCCCUGUGCUGACUACUGUGUCCUGGGCUGCAGUAACAGAUGUGAAAUCACAUUACCCAAACGCUGCAAUUAGUCUCACUCGCUCGCGGGUUAAUGAGUUUGUGGAAAUGUGCGACCCAUUCCUCAUUAGGUAAUUUCUCAUGCACUGAUGAGAGAGGGAGAGAGAUGUGGGUAUAGCAACUUAGUAGAAAUGGCACAUAGUCUGCUGCAACACAUACUGUAAAGCAAAAGAAGGGGGCGAGGGGCUUUUCUGAUGCUCACAAAUGCAAAAAACUUAAUCUCACCUAUAGCCAAAUGUAAAAUUCCAAAUUUCACACUGUCAAACCUUCUGCAUUUGCACCUAGGAGUUCCAUUACAGAGGGUUUGUGAAGCAGCUUCUGGGGUUGCAUCAGUGUGUCUCAUUAAGGACUCACUAUGCUUAUUUCCCUGCUGCGAGGCCACAGAGCCUGUGUGUGAAUAGACAGCCUGGGGCAAAGCUCUGUCAGGACACAAUGGACGACAACAAAAGAACUAAUUAGCAAUCAAUUACCGACGUGUUUCUGUCCUGCACCUUUUAUCUGGUUAGUUAGAGUGUAGAGCAGGUUACCACCACUCAACAUGUCCCUUUCACACACACACACAGACCACCUGCUGCCUGAGUGUGUGUGUGGCUUUUGGUGAAUUUGGAUUAUUGCACGGAUAUAUGUGGUUACCCAGUGAUGCUCAGUUUAAUGGAGGAGAAUGUAACCUCUCUGCUGCGUGGGAUAAAGGUGAAAAAUCUUCAAAUUAAUCCAAUUUAGGCCCUUUAGAGGAAGUUGCUUUUCACCGUGUCUGCACCUAAGAGCGUCAAAGAUAGUUGUUCAUUAGGUUCAUCUGUGCCAAUCAGCCUCUAAACUCCCCUUUAUUGUAUCUCAUUGCUUCCGUUCAUUGUUGCAAUUACUUGUAGUUGAUGUAAGUUUCGACCAAAGAGGAAAUUUCUGCCAUUAAUGAACACUGAAUCUGCAAUUUCAUAAAAACACAGUGUAGAUGAAGUAGAUUUAGUGUCUAAUUUGAGCAUGUGGCUUGCUCAUUUUGACUUCUCUCUGUGUCUAACGUACACACACACACACACACAGUGACAUCUGGGGGGAAAGUGUGCUGUGAGGAGGCUGCGAGUGCCUCUCAUGAUAACAACUCUGCAUCUCAACAACCUACAUCCAUCAUCAUCAACACUAACAUCUGCUCUGAGCCUCAGCCUUAAAUCUCUUUCUACUCCCCCAACCCUUUACCUCUCUCUACUUUCCACCCUCUCUCCCCCUUUCCUCACUCUCUCCUUUUCUUCCUCAGCUUCCGUUUGGUCCGUCUUUUUGCCUCCGGACCAAAAAAGGUCCUUUAUUUUUUUAAACCCUUCUCCAAAAUCUGCUCCUUCCAAAUUUCCCUCAUCUGCAUAUUAUGUGAAGAUGUGUUUUGUGUUUCAACCACCCUUAAAAAUCAAUAUUUAAUGAUGAUGUUAUCAGUGCUUUUAUGUGUAAUUUAGCUGGAGUGUCAGUAUGAAUGAGAUUCUGUCAGCUUUAUGACGUCAAGCAUUUAUUUUCUGUUAAUGGGUGCUCCUGGUGGUACACAAACCAAAACCCAGCGGACGUCUGAUGGAUUUGUCUGUUUCAUUUCUGUUCAUGCAUGCAAUUACAGCCAUGCUUGCAAGCAUACUCUACAUGUCUACCUACCAACACGCACACAGACACACACACACACAGUCAAGAUGAUUAUACAAUCCAAGAAAUCUAAUUAGUAAGUAUAAAUGCGAGAAAUAUUAAACAAGGAAAUUGUAAAUAAAUUCCAUAAAUACUAGACUUUGAAGCUUUAUAGUGUCAGAGCAAGACAGCGAAUGCAUCACUGAACUGUUCACAUUAGUUUGAUCCUAAAACACAAUCAAUCAAAGCAGCUGUUUGUUGCAAAACACCACGGCACUGUCUGAUUUUGACAUUUUCCCGAUCCAUGACAAUUACUUCACCUCCUCAGCUCUGGGAGCCAACAUUGUUGAGAGGCAAUAAUCAUGAUAGUUUUCUCAGUCAUUUUUCUCCCAAUAACAAGCCAUUUUUAAUCCAAUUAGGAGUGCUAACGUGAGAGGCAUAAUACCACGGCCCCUGGGACAGAUGAGAGAAUAUGCAGGACAUUUAUCCCGACAGUCAAUAUUGGAUUUCUCACUAAGCAGCUGUGCCUGCUCUCUCUGACAUUCUCCACCUCUGCACAGUGAUCCGUCCUGAUUAAACCGGCUUUUCUACUUUAUCAACAUUCAUUACAUGACCUGGUCAUGCAUGGCCACGGAAACCAGGAGUAGCAAAGUUACAUGCCUCACGUUGGGGUUUUCCUGCUGCACUUUUUCUCUGUGUUCAACUGAAAAGUGAAAGAUGAUCUGUCACAUGGUGCAUUCUUUUUGAAAUCAUAUUAACAGAUAGGUGUGUUAUGGUAUUCCCCAAAAAGUUUCCUCAUCAAGACUGAAAGGUUAUAUUGUUUUUUACCUGUUAAACCUGAAAAGGCAGGUUAAAACCAAAACUAGUUCUGUAUUAAAAUAUAGUCCUGUGGUUCUAAUACCCAGAAGUUCUUCGGUGUCUUUUCCUGAUUUGGAUUCCCUGAUUUUAAUUUAAUUUUAAGGAUGGAAAAUUCACAUUUCCACUCAUGUUUAUUGUUUUUGUUCAGUUCACUCACCCCUGCUGAGGCGCAGAAAAAAUAAUUUAGUGUGAAAACACUUUAGGGUAAGAAAGCAACAAAGAGCUGUCAGCACCUUGAUGCCAACAGCAGCUAAACAUUGCCACCUUGUGGUGGCUGUUGGAUAGAUCUCAGUCCUGUAAAAAAAAUGAUUUUUAUUCAUUCUUACAAUUAUUUAUUAAUUUUUUUAGAACAUAAAGACUAGACAGAUGUCAAUAGAUUUCUCAUCUCGGUAUCACAUAGUGAAAUAUGUCUGUUAACUCUACAGAGAGUCGCACAAUUAUUGUUCCAUCAAAACUUAGCUAAUAAAACACAGAAAAUGCAAAGAAAGAGGGCUGCUGUUUAUAGCUGAUUGCAGUCAAUACAUUUAUGCAGUGCACUGAAUCAUUGUCAUUGAGUGUAUUGAUUAUGUGGACUAAUCAAUGUUUAUUAGGCAGGAUAAGACCGGCUAGACCACAGUGGAGGCUGAAUGAUGAAGGAACACGUUUACUCAGUGUCACAGGCCCACCCACCUGCCCUGAGCAGACCUGCUGCAGAGAAUCAGGAAACUUCUACCAGGGAAACUAAAAUUAUAUGGUAAUUAUUUUUAUGAAAAUUGAAUGUUUUAACCUUCUAAGAUCAUAUGGAUUAUGAAUUAUGUAUCAUGUAUCUUGAAAUUAUAUGAUGGCCUAAGAGGGGGCUGAACUUGAUAAGCUUUGCUUCCUUUAGCCCCUUCUCGAACUUGCACUUUGUAAUAGUAUGCCA